GAUGAACGCUGGCGGCGUGCCUAACACAUGCAAGUCGAGCGAUUUACUUCGGUAAAGAGCGGCGGACGGGUGAGUAACACGUGGGUAACCUGCCCUGUACACACGGAUAACAUACUGAAAGGUAUGCUAAUACGGGAUAACAUAAGAGAGUCGCAUGGCUUUCUUAUCAAAGCUUUUGCGGUACAGGAUGGACCCGCGUCUGAUUAGCUAGUUGGUAAGGUAACGGCUUACCAAGGCGACGAUCAGUAGCCGACCUGAGAGGGUGAUCGGCCACAUUGGAACUGAGACACGGUCCAAACUCCUACGGGAGGCAGCAGUGGGGAAUAUUGCACAAUGGGCGAAAGCCUGAUGCAGCAACGCCGCGUGAGCGAUGAAGGCCUUCGGGUCGUAAAGCUCUGUCCUCAAGGAAGAUAAUGACGGUACUUGAGGAGGAAGCCCCGGCAAACUACGUGCCAGCAGCCGCCGUAA
Molecule: ribosomal RNA, 468 nt
Filed under: uncultured bacterium
Lineage: Bacteria
Description: partial 16S ribosomal RNA
Rfam family: Bacterial small subunit ribosomal RNA
Source: RNAcentral